CUGGCACUUUCAUAGGCCCUCCCUCAGGCUUCGGGGCCAGACUUUGGUAGCUGGUGCUGAGAGAAAACCUUUGAUUAUAUCCUUGCCCUGGGACUGUGCCAGGGGCAGCUGUCACUCAAUGGGAUAAUU
Molecule: small nucleolar RNA, 129 nt
Filed under: Microcebus murinus (gray mouse lemur)
Lineage: Eukaryota; Metazoa; Chordata; Mammalia; Primates; Cheirogaleidae
Description: Small nucleolar RNA SNORA30/SNORA37 family (ENSMICG00000021370.3)
Rfam family: Small nucleolar RNA SNORA30/SNORA37 family
About the family: The members of this family belong to the H/ACA class of snoRNAs that guide the sites of modification of uridines to pseudouridines. This family includes human ACA30 (SNORA30), ACA37 (SNORA37) and the mouse homolog MBI-26. Both ACA37 and ACA30 are predicted to guide the pseudouridylation of residue U4643 of 28S rRNA.
Source: Rfam by way of RNAcentral